Molecule: ribosomal RNA, 494 nt
Filed under: uncultured bacterium
Lineage: Bacteria
Description: partial 16S ribosomal RNA
Rfam family: Bacterial small subunit ribosomal RNA
Source: RNAcentral
GACGAACGCUGGCGGCGUGCUUAACACAUGCAAGUCGAACGGAAAGGCCUGCUUUCCCUUGUGGAUUGCGGGUGCUCGAGUGGCGAACGGGUGAGUAACACGUGAGUGAUCUGCCCCCAACUUGGGUAUAAGCCUGGGAAACUGGGUCUAAUUCCCGAUAGGACUGCAGGGUGGUGCCUGUGGUGGAAAACGAUUUUCUAGUGGUUGGGGAUGAGCUCGCGGCCUAUCAGCUUGUUGGUGGGGUAAUGGCCUACCAAGGCGGCGACGGGUAGCCGGCCUGAGGGGGUGGACGGGCACAUUGGGACUGAGAUACGGCCCAGACGCCUACGGGAGGCAGCAGUGGGGAAUAUGGCACAAUGGGCGGAAGCCUGAUGCAGCGAGGCCGCGUGGGGGAUGACGGCCUUCGGGUUGUAAACUCCUUUCGACCGCGAGGAAGCCGCCUGGUUGGAAGGGUGGUGACGGUAGCGGUAGAAGAAGCACCGGCUAACUACGUG